UCGCUCUCCGCACAGCAUGGACUCCGGCUGCGGAUCCCCACCGCCGCCCUCCACCCCUCCGCACAGGGCGCCCCGUGCCCCGCGGUAGCCUCUCUCCUCCCCAGCCGGCGCUGUGCCCGGGGCGCACCGGGAGGAGGGACCAGCAUCCGAUGCCCGGGCGCAGAUACUGACACCAAGGGAAUCCAGAUGCCCCCCCACGCCAUGUGGGCCCCCGGGAACCCGGGCCCACCACCCCGGCUGCCUGGCGGUCCCGGCCUCGGUUCUGGCCGGGCGGAGAUUCUGCAGACAUUCAGGGAUUGGCUUCGCCACUGAGCCCUCAGGCCUCUUCCAGCCAUCACCCCCACACCCCUAGCCUUCCCGGGCAGGCCCCGGCCCCGGCU
Molecule: long non-coding RNA, 380 nt
Organism: Myotis davidii
Lineage: Eukaryota; Metazoa; Chordata; Mammalia; Chiroptera; Vespertilionidae
Exons: 3
Source: RefSeq, a predicted model, not a curated record